Non-coding RNA from Prunus avium (sweet cherry), 571 nucleotides. The record is from RefSeq and is a predicted model, not a curated record. NCBI's taxonomy places the organism in Eukaryota, Viridiplantae, Streptophyta, Magnoliopsida, Rosales, Rosaceae.
GGUUUGUGGUGUUAAUACUUGAGAAUAUAUGCUUUCUGUUUAUUUGUUGUUUGUCUGAAAAUUUCUGUUGCUUUAAUACUUUCCAGAAUCAACUUUGCAUUUGGUUCUGAGGCUCCGUGGUGGGAUUAUUGAGCCGUCUCUCAUGGCAUUGGCUAGGAAAUACAACCAAGAUAAGAUGAUCUGCCGCAAGUGCUAUGCACGUUUGCACCCGCGUGCUGUCAACUGCAGGAAAAAGAAGUGUGGACACAGCAACCAGCUGAGGCCAAAGAAGAAGGUCAAGUAGACUGUGGAUCGUGCCAGCAGAAUAUUGUGUUUUACUAGGUCAUUUAGGUCAUUGGCUAUUUCAUUUGAAACUCUUAGCCUCAAACAGUUUUCUGUUAGAAAGUUUAGAAACAUUAAUAUGUUCGAACUUUACUUGUUUUGGGAUUUCUAUUUUCCUAUGUUUUAUUUCGCCAUGGUUUGAACCUCUUUGAAGAAUGGCAUUCAUUAAGCUUGAGCCUUUCCAUAUCGCAUAUUUUUAUUUUUGUGUGUUAUUAUUGUAACGGGAAUGAUGAAAUUUGUACUUCCACAA